UACGGAGGGUGCAAGCGUUAUCCGGAUUUACUGGGCUUAAAGGGUGCGUAGGCGGGUCUGUAAGUCAGUGGUGAAAUCUCCGGGCUUAACUCGGAAACUGCCAUUGAUACUAUAGAUCUUGAAUUAUCUGGAGGUGAGCGGAAUAUGUCAUGUAGCGGUGAAAUGCGUAGAUAUGACAUAGAACACCAAUUGCGAAGGCAGCUCACUACGGAUAUAUUGACGCUGAGGCACGAAAGCGUGGGGAGCAAACAGG
Molecule: ribosomal RNA, 253 nt
Filed under: uncultured bacterium
Lineage: Bacteria
Description: partial 16S ribosomal RNA
Rfam family: Bacterial small subunit ribosomal RNA
Source: RNAcentral